RNAcentral lists this non-coding RNA (54 nucleotides) under unclassified sequences. The record is from RNAcentral.
CUCUUAAGGCAGCCUAUAGUCAGUGACAAGCCUGUAUAAAUGCUGAGUCAAGAG